RNAcentral lists this ribosomal RNA (305 nucleotides) under uncultured bacterium. RNAcentral's name for it is "bacterial SSU rRNA". It matches the Rfam family "Bacterial small subunit ribosomal RNA", at positions 188 to 507 of the family's 1533-position model. The record is from RNAcentral.
CAGUGGUGGGGUUGGAAAGUUUCGGCGGUUGGGGAUGGACUCGCGGCUUAUCAGCUUGUUGGUGGGGUAGUGGCUUACCAAGGCUUUGACGGGUAGCCGGCCUGAGAGGGUGACCGGCCACAUUGGGACUGAGAUACGGCCCAGACUCCUACGGGAGGCAGCAGUGGGGAAUAUUGCACAAUGGGUGGAAGCCUGAUGCAGCAACGCCGUGUGCGGGAUGACGGCCUUCGGGUUGUAAACCGCUUUCGCUCAUGACGAAGCUUCGUGUGACGGUAGUGGGUAAAGAAGCACCGGCUAACUACGUG